This 814-nucleotide long non-coding RNA is filed under the name Homo sapiens (human). RNAcentral describes it as "HSALNT0069887". Lineage: Eukaryota; Metazoa; Chordata; Mammalia; Primates; Hominidae. The record is from RNAcentral.
GUGGCCAGGUCUGUGCCAGCUACUUUGAGGUUAUAGAGAAUUUUCAUAACAUAUAGAAGCUGGCCUUGGGAAGCUAAGAAUCUUAUUGAAGAGAAUGAACAAUGAUACAAGAAACAUUUUCAGAAUUGUAGAUCAUUAUCUGGUGCUAAAAUAAUUGGAAGGAAAAAUGCAUUAGUGACUCUCAACAACACAAUUGGAGGAAGAAAUAAAUAUGGGCCAGAAUAUCAAUGAAAGUCACAUGAAUGAGGUGACUCAGAGGAGGUACGUUAGUCUGGGGAUAGUAAGUCUGGGUUAAUCUAUUAUUAAAUUAUUAGCCUGGGUCUCCUUGGAAGCAGACAGUGAGACAAGGACUUGACUUCAAAUGGUUUAUUUGAGAUAUAAUCCCAGAAUAUAAUGAUUAAAAAGUACAAAAAGGAGACAGGGAAGGAAGAGAACCAGGAAAAGAAAAAAAAAGUGGCAAGCCAUUUAAUAUGUGGAAAACUAAGCAUGUUACUACUGUAGACAAUUGGAGUUUCAUACCACUGGGAAUUCUGGCAGACCAUAUACAAUAUACAUCAGAGUUGCCCCAGCUAAGGGAUGAGAAAGAUGAAUCUUCCAUUGACUAAGAGCUGCUCAAAGUGAUAUUAACUCUUCAUUGCUGCUGGUCACCUAUACACAGAUGGAAUUUGCUCUGCUAGACAGAGAAGAUUUUAACGUGGCUGUGUUUUUCAUUCAGAGAUGCAGAGAUGAGUGCUAUGAGGAUGUGAGUGGGUCACUGAUAGUCAGCAAUAGGUGGGACCAAAAAAAAAACAGAGAGAGAGAGAGAGAAAGAGAG